This is a long non-coding RNA of Sinocyclocheilus grahami, 228 nucleotides long. RefSeq lists it as uncharacterized. The transcript is spliced from 3 exons. Lineage: Eukaryota; Metazoa; Chordata; Actinopteri; Cypriniformes; Cyprinidae. The record is from RefSeq and is a predicted model, not a curated record.
CCGCGGGAUCCGGCGAGCUCUGGAGGACAUCACACAAGGAGGCGCACCGUACAGCGACACGGACGCUCCUGAAGAGCCUUCAUCACAGGAGACAGUGUCUGUCGGUACUCCGGUGAGGGACGUCUUCUGUUCUCGUGGUGUCGUGUUUACUGAACCCUUCCACGGCUCUUAUGUUCGAGCUCAGCCCUUCGACGAGUCUCUUACUGCCAGCCAGCGGUUCCUGCCUCC